Molecule: long non-coding RNA, 151 nt
Organism: Rhodamnia argentea
Lineage: Eukaryota; Viridiplantae; Streptophyta; Magnoliopsida; Myrtales; Myrtaceae
Exons: 3
Source: RefSeq, a predicted model, not a curated record
UCUUGGAUCGCCAAGAAAUAAGUGAAUCGCCAAGAAAAAUGCAAUAACCAGUGAUAGAUUUACGAUCGGUGACAUUGGAAGCCCAAUCAGCAUCAGAAUAGGCACGCAACUUGAGAGUAGAAGAAGAUGAAAUGAACUAAGAACGCGAUAA